This 27-nucleotide unclassified non-coding RNA is filed under the name Mus musculus (house mouse). RNAcentral's name for it is "oocyte_clustered_small_RNA5208". The record is from RNAcentral. Lineage: Eukaryota; Metazoa; Chordata; Mammalia; Rodentia; Muridae.
UACUCACAGGCAGUAUUUAAAGUCAGG